UAUUAUUUAAAAUGUAAUUAUAAAUAUUUAAGUAGUAAUAGUUAUGUUCUUGAAACUUAAAAAAUUUGGCGGUAUUUUAGUCUAUCCAGAGGAACCUGUUUUAUAAUCGAUAAUCCACGAUGGACCUUACUUAAGUUUGUAAUCAGUUUAUAUACCGUCGUUAUCAGAAUAUUUUAUAAGAAUAAUAAUAUUCAAUAAUUUUUAUUAAAAUUUAUAUCAGAUCAAGGUGUAGCUUAUAUUUAAGUAGUAAUGGGUUACAAUAAAUAUAUUUAUACGGAUAAAAUUAUGAAAAAAUUUUUAAAGGUGGAUUUGGUAGUAAAAUUAUAUAGAUUAAUAAUUUGAUUUUAGCUCUAAAAUAUGUACACAUCGCCCGUCGCUCUUAUUAUUAAGGUAAGAUAAGUCGUAACAUAGUAGAUGUACUGGAAAGUGUAUCUAGAAUGA
This 441-nucleotide ribosomal RNA is filed under the name Drosophila adunca. RNAcentral describes it as "partial 12S ribosomal RNA". Lineage: Eukaryota; Metazoa; Arthropoda; Insecta; Diptera; Drosophilidae. The record is from RNAcentral.